UAUAAACAUAUUUUAAAUUAUACUCAUAAUCAAAAAUAUAUAAAUCGUAUAUCUUAUUUGUAUUAACAUCUGCAUUCGUUAGAAAAUCAAGUGGAAGAUAUAAUAUAUAUCAAUAUUAUAAUAAACUUUGUAGAAAUAGAAAAUAAUAAUUUAAAUAUUAAUAUUGAAUAUUUAUUUUACAAAAAUAAAUAUAUAUAUAUAAAAUAUUUCUUAUGUUAUAUAAUUUUGAAAUAUUUUUGGAUAUUUUAUGAUUAAGGCAUCCAUAAAAAAAAUAAUAAUAAAAAUAAAUAUAAUAAGUUAGUAUAAAAGUAUUUAAAAUGAAUAUUAAUAUUAAUAUAAUAUAAGAAUAAACAAUUUUAUUUCAAAUAUAGUAAUAAUAUAAAAAAUUUAACAUUAGAUCUUUAGAGAAAGAAAAAUCUUUAGAAUAAUCUUUAGAAUAAGAUAAAAUUAUUAUUACAGGGAGUUUAUUUCAAUUAUUCAAUUUAACUUCAAUUUCAAUAUUAUAUUAUUUAGGAAAACGUAAAAAAAAAGGAUAAUUAUUUGUAAGUAUACUAUUAUUUGUAAAAUAUACUAUAAACUAUAAAAUGCAUUUCUUAACAUGUUAUUAUUGAAUCUUCUCAUUGCACAUAUACAUUAUUGUUACAAAUUACUCUGCAUCUACAUGAGUGUUACAUGUACUAAUAAUAUCGUAUAGAAAUAUUACAAACAGGUACAAAAGCUAAACUACUUUCUUAACAUAUGUUUCCUUAGUUAAUUUUUUUAUGGAUUAUAAAUAUAAUCAUUCACUAGAAUUUAAUUCUUUAUUCAUAAAUAACUUUUAAAAUUAAAAAAUACUAUUAUGUUGUUUAAUUAUUUUGUUUCAUUAUAUAGAAAAAUGGAAGAAAUUUUAUAAAUUAAGAGAAUGGUCAUUGUAAUUUUUAAUAACUUUAAAAUGCUUUUAUAUAUUUUAUAUUACUUUUUAUGAAAAAUAAAGGAUUAGAAAUCUUUUCAAAUGGAAUGCAGAUUCUGCACAAAUAAUUUUUUAAUAAUAGGAUCAUUAUAUUCAUCACAAUGGAUAUAUUAUUUGUAUGGGUAAAAUAUUUUAUUAUUUUUAUAAAUUUGCUACUCAGCUGGUGAAUCAUAAUACUUUCUAAGUUAUGUAAAAAAAAACUUGAUCAAUCAGAUCUCUAAUUUAUCAUAUAUGUAUAUAUAAAUAUAUAUAUAAAUAUAUAUAUUAUCAAUUGUGCAAAGAGAUCGUUAAAACAGUGGUUAAGAUUUUGUAAUACUUUAACCACUAAUUGGCAGUGAUAUUUUGGAUUUUUUAUAUUUCUCACUGAUCGCAAAAAGAAUAAUACAAUAUAAAUUUUAAAGAAAAUUAUUUUUCACAACCAAAAACGCGCAAGCACAAUUUUUAUACUACAAAUAUUAAUUUAUAUCAUAUUACAAUGUAUUUUUAUUUGUAUUAUAAAGAUUUUACAUUUCAACUGAAGUUUGAUUAAAGUUUAAGAAAAAAAUAAAAAUUUACAAUUUUUAUUUUUAAUUUCCUCAUAUAAAAAACUUAAAUUAUUGAUUUUACCAUCAUUAAAAAUUUUUCUAUUAAAAAUUCGAUGAUAAAAUAAUUUCUAUUCAAUUUAAAAAAAUGUUGAACAAUUCCAUUAUAUAAAGUUCGAACAUAUACUAUUUCUUACAAUCAAUGAGAAUACUUUUGCAAUAAUACUAAGUUUUUUAAAUGCGGAUUAGUUCAAGAAGAUUAUAUUAUUUAUAUGCGCGUGUACAAAGUUUAAUUACAAAGAGUCUAAAAAACUGACUUAUAGAUGUUUUUAUUUAUAUAUCAUUCGAUUCUCACAGCACCUACCGCUGAAAAUGCAUUAAAAAAAUACAUCCAUUGUUAUUAUGGCAUUCUUCAAGGUGUACAUGAGCCAAAAAAUAAUGUUUAACAUAAGAUUUUUCUUUUUUAAGAGUAAUAUUUACCCGUCUGUCGAGAUCAGAUUGUGUAUUAAAUUAGAUCAUUUAACUUUAAUUAGUUAAAUGAUUAACUAAAAUAACGAAAUAAUUCUAUAUUGACUUAAAGUAUUAAGUCUAUAUUGACUUAAAAAUAUUGAAGAAAUGAAAUGAUGAAUUUAUAUUAAAUAUUCUAAUAUUAAUUUUUACAAAAUGUUCAUUUUCUUGUUAAAAACUUAGAAAUCUAUUUUCUAUUAUGUUUUUUUCUCUUUAAGGAAAUUCAUGCUGUUAUAAAUCAUGUAGCUCGAUCGAAAUCCAUUCAAUAAUUAUUUGUUACAAAUAAAAAGAAAAAUAUUUACAGUAACUGUACAAAAAUAUGUUCAUGAAGUAAAUUCUUUACAAUUAACAAAAAAAA
Molecule: long non-coding RNA, 2335 nt
Organism: Apis cerana (Asiatic honeybee)
Lineage: Eukaryota; Metazoa; Arthropoda; Insecta; Hymenoptera; Apidae
Source: RefSeq, a predicted model, not a curated record